AUUUAAAUAGCUUAAAUAAAUAAAGUUUAAUAUUGAAGAUAUUAAGAUAAUAUAAUAAAAUAUUUUUAAAUA
RNAcentral lists this transfer RNA (72 nucleotides) under Tapinoma ibericum. RNAcentral's name for it is "tRNA-Phe". RNAcentral also lists the same sequence under 1 other name. The record is from RNAcentral. Lineage: Eukaryota; Metazoa; Arthropoda; Insecta; Hymenoptera; Formicidae.